AACGAACGCUGGCGGCAUGCCUAACACAUGCAAGUCGAACGAGACCUUCGGGUCUAGUGGCGCACGGGUGCGUAACGCGUGGGAACCUGCCCUUAGGUUCGGAAUAACUCCCCGAAAGGGGUGCUAAUACCGGAUAAUGUCUUCGGACCAAAGAUUUAUCGCCUUUGGAUGGGCCCGCGUUGGAUUAGCUAGUUGGUAGGGUAAAAGCCUACCAAGGCGAUGAUCCAUAGCUGGUCUGAGAGGAUGAUCAGCCACACUGGGACUGAGACACGGCCCAGACUCCUACGGGAGGCAGCAGUGGGGAAUAUUGGACAAUGGGCGAAAGCCUGAUCCAGCAAUGCCGCGUGAGUGAUGAAGGCCUUAGGGUUGUAAAGCUCUCUUACCCGGGAUGAUAAUGACAGUACCGGGAGAAUAAGCUCCGGCUAACUCCGUG
RNAcentral lists this ribosomal RNA (433 nucleotides) under uncultured bacterium. Its description in RNAcentral is "partial 16S ribosomal RNA". It matches the Rfam family "Bacterial small subunit ribosomal RNA", at positions 29 to 507 of the family's 1533-position model. The record is from RNAcentral.